GCAUAUCAUAACCGGAGGAAAAGAAUCCAACGGGGAUUGCCCUAGUACGGCGAGUGAAGCGGCAACAGCUCAAAUUUGAAAUCUGGCCCUCUGGGCCCGAGUUGUAAUUUGUAGAGGGCGCUUUGGUGUUGGCCCCGGCCUAAGUUCCUUGGAACAGGACGUCACAGAGGGUGAGAACCCCGUACGUGGCCGGCGGCCUUCGCUGUGUAAAGCCCCUUCGACGAGUCGAGUUGUUUGGGAAUGCAGCUCUAAAUGGGAGGUAAAUUUCUUCUAAAGCUAAAUACUGGCCAGAGACCGAUAGCGCACAAGUAGAGUGAUCGAAAGAUGAAAAGCACUUUGGAAAGAGAGUCAAAAAGCACGUGAAAUUGUUGAAAGGGAAGCGCUUGCAGCCAGACUUGCCUGUAGUUGCUCACCUGGGCUCUUGCCCAGCGCACUCUUCUGCGGGCAGGCCAGCAUCAGUUCAAGCGGUCGGACAAAAGCCCUAGGAAUGUGGCUCCUUCCGGGGAGUGUUAUAGCCUAGGGCAUAAUGCGGCCAGCUUGGACUGAGGUCCGCGCAUUUGCUAGGAUGCUGGCGUAAUGGUUGUAAGCGGCCCGUCUUGAAACACGGACCAAGGAGUCUAACAUCUAUGCGAGUGUUUGGGUGUCAAGCCCGAGCGCGAAAUGAAAGUGAACGGAGGUGGGAACCCCCCCGGGGCGCACCAUCGACCGAUCCUGAUGUCUUCGGAUGGAUUUGAGUAAGAGCAUAGCUGUUGGGACCCGAAAGAUGGUGAACUAUGCCUGAAUAGGGUGAAGCCAGAGGAAACUCUGGUGGAGGCUCGCAGCGGUUCUGACGUGCAAAUCGAUCGUCAAAUUUGGGCAUAGGGGCGAAAGACUAAUCGAACUAUCUAGUAGCUGGAUCUGCGAG
RNAcentral lists this ribosomal RNA (904 nucleotides) under Lojkania enalia. RNAcentral's name for it is "partial large subunit ribosomal RNA". It matches the Rfam family "Eukaryotic large subunit ribosomal RNA", at positions 38 to 963 of the family's 3401-position model. Lineage: Eukaryota; Fungi; Ascomycota; Dothideomycetes; Pleosporales. The record is from RNAcentral.